Molecule: ribosomal RNA, 393 nt
Filed under: uncultured bacterium
Lineage: Bacteria
Description: partial 16S ribosomal RNA
Rfam family: Bacterial small subunit ribosomal RNA
Source: RNAcentral
AUACGGAGGAUGCGAGCGUUAUCCGGAUUUAUUGGGUUUAAAGGGAGCGUAGGUGGGAUAUUAAGUCAGCUGUGAAAGUUUGGGGCUCAACCUUAAAAUUGCAGUUGAUACUGGUUUCCUUGAGUACGGUACAGGUGGGCGGAAUUCGUGGUGUAGCGGUGAAAUGCUUAGAUAUCACGAAGAACUCCGAUCGCGAAGGCAGCUCACCGGGCCGGAACUGACACUGAUGCUCGAAAGUGCGGGUAUCAAACAGGAUUAGAUACCCUGGUAGUCCGCACAGUAAACGAUGAAUACUCGCUGUUUGCGAUACACUGUAAGCGGCCAAGCGAAAGCGUUAAGUAUUCCACCUGGGGAGUACGCCGGCGACGGUGAAACUCAAAUGAAUUGACGGGG